Long non-coding RNA from Hyla sarda, 510 nucleotides. RefSeq lists it as uncharacterized. Lineage: Eukaryota; Metazoa; Chordata; Amphibia; Anura; Hylidae. The record is from RefSeq and is a predicted model, not a curated record. The transcript has 3 exons.
UUCAAAAAUGAAAGACGCGAUCUGACUGGUUGCUAUGGGCAACUGUCAUUCCAACUGACAAGUACGCUUUAAUCUAAUUCUCUACCAAAAUAUUAGAAAAAUCGAUCUGAAAUUCUAAAAUUGAGGAUUACUUUGUACACAACUAAAGGUACAUUAACUUGAUGCAUCUAUCCAGCUCUAACCUUGUGAGGGGGUUUCCACUGAAAUCAGCCACUUGGAGUGCUUUACAAAACGAGAUGCUCUCCGGAAUUUCUGGAAUAUCUGAAAUAAGUUUUACAAGGAAGACAUGAAAUUUUAAGAUAACUUCAACGGCUUACAAUACUCGAGAAAGUUACAUCCUUGCCAAUGAUGAAGUCUAUGAUGAACAGAGGAGGGAACAAAAAGACAAUUCAAUGCGGAGGACUACGUCAGAAUCGGUGGAUUGUGAUGAACAGCGUUUUUUUUAAAUGUCAAUAAAAGGGUUAACGAGGGCUGUGGGGGAAGUGUUUUCUUAAAUAAAAAAUGUUUUCA